GACGAACGCUGGCGGCGUGCUUAACACAUGCAAGUCGAACGAAGUGGCGAACGGGUGAGUAACGCGUAAUCAACAUGCCCUUCAGAGGGGUACAACAGUUGGAAACGACUGCUAAUACUGCAUACAGAAGGCGGGGAUUGUGUGUGAUUAGCUGGUUGGUGGGGUAACGUCCCACCAUAGCCAUGAUCAGUAGCCGGUGUGAAGGAAAGAAAAGCCGCGAUGGAGAUGGGAAACGGGCCAGACGCAUACGGUAAGAAGCAGUGGGGAAACUUCCGCAAUGGGGGAAAUUCUGACGGAACAAAGCCGCAUGAGUGAUAACGGCCAUCAGGUUGUAAAGCUCUGUUAAUCGGGACGCGGUACCGGAAUAGAAAGCCACGGCUAACUACGUGCCAGCAGCCGCGGUAGUUC
This 408-nucleotide ribosomal RNA is filed under the name uncultured bacterium. RNAcentral's name for it is "partial 16S ribosomal RNA". It matches the Rfam family "Bacterial small subunit ribosomal RNA", at positions 28 to 526 of the family's 1533-position model. The record is from RNAcentral.